Molecule: ribosomal RNA, 573 nt
Filed under: uncultured Bacillus sp.
Lineage: Bacteria; Bacillati; Bacillota; Bacilli; Caryophanales; Bacillaceae
Description: bacterial SSU rRNA
Rfam family: Bacterial small subunit ribosomal RNA
Source: RNAcentral
GAGAUUAGAGUUUGAUCAUGGCUCAGGACGAACGCUGGCGGCGUGCCUAAUACAUGCAAGUCGAGCGGACGGAUGGGAGCUUGCUCCCAGACCGUCAGCGGCGGACGGGUGAGUAACACGUGGGCAACCUGCCUGUAAGACUGGGAUAACUCCGGGAAACCGGGGCUAAUACCGGAUAAUUCUUUCCCUCACAUGAGGGAAAGCUGAAAGAUGGCUUCGGCUAUCACUUACAGAUGGGCCCGCGGCGCAUUAGCUAGUUGGUGAGGUAACGGCUCACCAAGGCAACGAUGCGUAGCCGACCUGAGAGGGUGAUCGGCCACACUGGGACUGAGACACGGCCCAGACUCCUACGGGAGGCAGCAGUAGGGAAUCUUCCGCAAUGGACGAAAGUCUGACGGAGCAACGCCGCGUGAGUGAUGAAGGUUUUCGGAUCGUAAAACUCUGUUGUUAGGGAAGAACAAGUGCCGGAGUAACUGCCGGUACCUUGACGGUACCUAACCAGAAAGCCACGGCUAACUACGUGCCAGCAGCCGCGGUAAUACGUAGGUGGCAAGCGUUGUCCGGAAUUAUUGG